GUGGGCAUGUGGAGGACGUCGUUUGUAUAACAGCAGCGAAAGCUUCUCGUUUUUGUUUUCUGUAGCUUUUUGGCCAAAUUGGACAGAAGAGGAAGCGGCUCGUCAAAUACGGACAGUCAGCCACGCAGCACCGUUGGCACUGAACACUCUCCACCGGCGGCACCACACGCGCCACAUGGCACAUCAUUUCAGCACCACGAACAGCUCCGCUGGCGGACUGAAGAGUAAUGCAUUAUUGAAAGCCUAUAUCAAACAGCUCUGGGGUGCUGUCUCUCUGCACAAGGGUCUGUGGAUGAAGUCGGACUGUCUGCCUUCACAAUAGCCUCUAAUAUGUUAAUGGCCGUAGGGGAUGCCUGAGGUACCGUCCCCAGCUGCCUCGCCUACCAUAUGUCAAGCCGUUACGACAGAGCCCUCUAUUAAUCAGUUGGGGAUAUUUCAUCGAUGGCCUCGACGAUAUCAUAACCCUUAAAGCUCCAUCAAUACUGCACCUCGCAUCGUCACCUGAUCUCAGAUCUCGGCCUUACUGUCCUCUAUUUCCCCUUCCAUUUCAGUGGAAGGCCCAAGCUUGCCGUCUUCCAGCGCCGCAGGGCAUGGAGCUAGCCAGCGGUGAGUUUCCAUCAAUUAGUGCACCCCCGCGGCCUCAUGGCAGAGCCCACCUUUGACUGCGGUGAGAUAUUGAUUAGUUCAGCUGCACUGUCAGGUCUGGAGUGUGCAGGCCCUGGUGAUCCAAGGCCUUCGCCAGAGACAAGAUCAUGUCAGGUUUCUGACACAUGUAGGCUCUCACAUACACACCCGUGUGCACACGCAUGGAGGUUAGCAUGUGUACACAUGCAGGUGCGCGCAGACGUGCGCGUCAACACAUGGACACAUACAAAUGCAAUGAAACAUGCUCUCUCAGAUGACUGCAAGGUGUGAGAGAGGGAAGAUAAGAGGAGAAGUCCAUAAGAGUUGCUUGUCAGGAGUGAUGGGUGAGAACUGACAAGUGCUUGUUUUUUUUUUUUUUUUUUUUUUUCCCUCCCUCUGCCCGGUAGAGUUGGUGUGAAAACAACAAGCUGCAGAGCCUCCGCACUCGCUCAACUAAGAGACACAACAAAAAUGAGUGAACAUCAGGAACCGGAUGUGAAUCCGUGAGAUUGGACUUCAUAUAGUGACUCAGAGCAAAAAGCCGUUGUCUGCGUUGUUGCUCUGAAAAACAGGAUGGAUGUUUGGACUGUUGUGGGCAGCUGUACCUUGGGAGUCUGCUGUCUUCUUCUGAUGUCAUGGAUGCAGAAAAGAUCAGACAAUAAGCUAAAUAAAGACGCUCUAUUAAACCAGCAAUUACCUCGCAAGGCUGAAAUGAUUUAUUGCAUCUUAUUGAAGGUAAGAGCUCUGUGAGUGCCUCAUAACUAGAUUAUAAAUUUUAGUUUCCCCGAUGACAUAGCAGCAAACUGAAACACCACUUUUCUUCUUGUAAACUUUAUAAGAACAGCUAUUCGUCGUCCAGUAGAUGCGGUUGUAACACGGACUUCAUCAGUCUGAGAGAAAACAACAAUACAAUA
Long non-coding RNA from Poecilia latipinna (sailfin molly), 1538 nucleotides. RefSeq lists it as uncharacterized. The transcript has 5 exons. Lineage: Eukaryota; Metazoa; Chordata; Actinopteri; Cyprinodontiformes; Poeciliidae. The record is from RefSeq and is a predicted model, not a curated record.